Long non-coding RNA from Bubalus bubalis (water buffalo), 979 nucleotides. RefSeq lists it as uncharacterized. The record is from RefSeq and is a predicted model, not a curated record. NCBI's taxonomy places the organism in Eukaryota, Metazoa, Chordata, Mammalia, Artiodactyla, Bovidae. The transcript is spliced from 4 exons.
UCCGGCAAAAAGCCAAUGGGCAGCAGGUGAGGUUUCUGCUGUGCUCUCCUUCCAGCAGAGCGUCCAUGCUCAGCAGUGACUAGACCUGCCCCUCAUCUCCAGCCCAGAGUCUGGUGUGUUUUCGCGGCACCUCAGCAGGACAACAAAAGACCGAGACUGCCAGCACCAAGUCUAAAACACCGGGGCAGUCUUCACCUGAUAAACCUGAAGUUAAUUAACUCCUCUGUGGCUCUCUGAGCGCCUAGUAUCUGAGAAGUAACAGAAAAACCUGCUUUUUUCAGAGAGAAAUAUCCUUCUCCAGAGAUUCAAGAAAGAAGAGCGCUCAGACAAGAUGCGGUGGUCAAUGUGUGUCUCCUGCUGGAAACGGCAUGGCUCUAAUUACUGCAGUUUCUCCAGAACUGAAGACGUGCUUUCAUUAAUUCAGCCAGACUGGGUGCUUCUCUUGCCUGACCAAGUUGGCUCAGGCUUUCAAAGAAAAGAGCUGGAUCGGGCUUCACCCUACGGGCAGACCCUGGAGCCAGAACAGGACCUGCUUAGCCUCAGUGGCCAUGGUUAGCAUAACGAGGGGAAAGCUGGCCAUAUAAUUCACUGCUCUGCUGAGUACCUGGAUGGAACAGGGUGUGCAAGUUUGGGGUGCAGCUGGUAAUCCUGGAGGGAGAGAAGAAGUCAUGUAUCUGGGGCCUUGUUGGGAGAACACAAAGAGAAAAAUACUUGGUGGGCCAAGGCUGGGAAGGGUCUUUGGAGAAGAGAAUGUGUAUUGGGAUUUGAAGUCAGCAGUGGUGUGUGAGCUGAGGUAAAUGUCCUUCUCCCACUCUCUAUUAAACCCUCAAUAAGGUCACACGCUCAGGAAUGUGUGUGUGAGAGAGACUGUGGGAAGAACCAGAGUGGUCAUAAUAAUGGUCAGAAUGGUAUUUGGUGGGGGAAGCAUCCGAUAUGUGCCAGGAACUAUGCAUUUUAUGGAUAAUCCCAUGUAAUCUAC